This 288-nucleotide long non-coding RNA is filed under the name Lathyrus oleraceus (garden pea). RNAcentral's name for it is "Pisum sativum (pea) long non-coding RNA (PSAT_LNC026469)". Lineage: Eukaryota; Viridiplantae; Streptophyta; Magnoliopsida; Fabales; Fabaceae. The record is from RNAcentral.
UUUGUUGUGAACCAAAUGCAAAGAAUUGGACAAAAUGGACUUAUACUUUAGGACUUUACCCAAGCAAAUGGAGUUUGAAGAGAAACUAGGCCUCAUGCCUUUAGAAUGCUUAAAUGUCAAAGAGCAACUAGGCCUCAUGCCUUUAGAAUGCUUAAAUGUCAAAGAGCAACUAGGCCUCAUGCCUUUAGAAUGCUUAAAGCUUAAGGAUGAACAUUGAAAGGACUAUAUUCUAAACUCCCUCUUGUCCAUUCUUUGAUUGUUAAUAGAACCUUUUGAUGUAUGUGUUUU